This 510-nucleotide ribosomal RNA is filed under the name uncultured Staphylococcus sp. RNAcentral describes it as "bacterial SSU rRNA". It matches the Rfam family "Bacterial small subunit ribosomal RNA", at positions 15 to 507 of the family's 1533-position model. Lineage: Bacteria; Bacillati; Bacillota; Bacilli; Caryophanales; Staphylococcaceae. The record is from RNAcentral.
UAUCCUGGCUCAGGAUGAACGCUGGCGGCGUGCCUAAUACAUGCAAGUCGAGCGAACAGAUGAGGAGCUUGCUCCUCUGACGUUAGCGGCGGACGGGUGAGUAACACGUGGGUAACCUACCUAUAAGACUGGAACAACUCCGGGAAACCGGGGCUAAUGCCGGAUAAUAUGCGGAACCGCAUGGUUCUGCAAUGAAAGACGGUUUUGCUGUCACUUAUAGAUGGACCCGCGCCGUAUUAGCUAGUUGGUAAGGUAACGGCUUACCAAGGCAACGAUACGUAGCCGACCUGAGAGGGUGAUCGGCCACACUGGAACUGAGACACGGUCCAGACUCCUACGGGAGGCAGCAGUAGGGAAUCUUCCGCAAUGGGCGAAAGCCUGACGGAGCAACGCCGCGUGAGUGAUGAAGGUCUUCGGAUCGUAAAACUCUGUUAUUAGGGAAGAACAAGUGCGUAGGUAACUAUGCGCACCUUGACGGUACCUAAUCAGAAAGCCACGGCUAACUACGUG